RNAcentral lists this ribosomal RNA (325 nucleotides) under uncultured eukaryote. RNAcentral's name for it is "partial 18S ribosomal RNA". It matches the Rfam family "Eukaryotic small subunit ribosomal RNA", at positions 1470 to 1796 of the family's 1831-position model. The record is from RNAcentral.
CCCUUAGAUGUUCUGGGCCGCACGCGCGCUACACUGAUGCAUUCAACGAGCCUAUCCUUGACUGACAGGUCCGGGUAAUCUUUGAAUCUGCAUCGUGACGGGGAUAGAUUAUUGCAAUUAUUAAUCUUCAACGAGGAAUGCCUAGUAGGCGCAAGUCAUCAGCUUGCGUCGAUUACGUCCCUGCCCUUUGUACACACCGCCCGUCGCUCCUACCGAUUGGGUGUGCUGGUGAAAUGUUCGGAUCGGCCGUUUGUCGCGGUUUCCGCGUCAUGUGGCUGAGAAGUUCAUUAAACCCUCCCACCUAGAGGAAGGAGAAGUCGUAACA